Molecule: ribosomal RNA, 373 nt
Filed under: uncultured bacterium
Lineage: Bacteria
Description: bacterial SSU rRNA
Rfam family: Bacterial small subunit ribosomal RNA
Source: RNAcentral
AUUGAACGCUGGCGGCAGGCUUAACACAUGCAAGUCGAGCGGGGGCUUCGGUCCUAGCGGCGAACGGGUGAGGAAUGCCUGGGAAUCUGCCUGGUAGUGGGGGAUAACGAUUCGAAAGGGUCGCUAAUACCGCAUACGUCCUACGGGAGAAAGCAGGGGACCUUCGGGCCUUGCGCUAUCAGAUGAGCCCAGGUCGGAUUAGCUAGUAGGUGAGGUAAAGGCUCACCUAGGCGACGAUCCGUAGCUGGUCUGAGAGGAUGAUCAGCCACACUGGAACUGAGACACGGUCCAGACUCCUACGGAGGCAGCAGUGGGGAAUAUUGGACAAUGGGCGAAAGCCUGAUCCAGCCAUGCCGCGUGUGUGAAGAAGGCC